UACGUAGGGACCAAGCGUUGUUCGGAUUUACUGGGCGUAAAGGGCUCGUAGGCGGCCAACUAAGUCGGAUGUGAAAUCCCCAGGCUCAACCUGGGAACUGCAUCCGAUACUGGAUGGCUUGAAUCCGGGAGAGGGAUGCAGAAUUCCAGGUGUAGCGGUGAAAUGCGUAGAUAUCUGGAGGAAUACCGGUGGCGAAGGCGGCAUCCUGGACCGGCAUUGACGCUGAGGAGCGAAAGCUAGGGGAGCAAACGGG
Molecule: ribosomal RNA, 253 nt
Filed under: uncultured bacterium
Lineage: Bacteria
Description: partial 16S ribosomal RNA
Rfam family: Bacterial small subunit ribosomal RNA
Source: RNAcentral